UACGAAGGGGGCUAGCGUUGCUCGGAAUCACUGGGCGUAAAGCGCACGUAGGCGGCUUUCUAAGUCAGGGGUGAAAUCCCGGAGCUCAACUCCGGAACUGCCUUUGAUACUGGGAGGCUCGAGUCCGGGAGAGGUGAGUGGAACUGCGAGUGUAGAGGUGAAAUUCGUAGAUAUUCGCAAGAACACCAGUGGCGAAGGCGGCUCACUGGCCCGGUACUGACGCUGAGGUGCGAAAGCGUGGGGAGCAAACGGG
This 253-nucleotide ribosomal RNA is filed under the name uncultured bacterium. RNAcentral's name for it is "partial 16S ribosomal RNA". It matches the Rfam family "Bacterial small subunit ribosomal RNA", at positions 524 to 776 of the family's 1533-position model. The record is from RNAcentral.